GUUUCAAUUCCUCAUAGGCAGGCUAUCGGCGACGGAAAACCUUUUCUUGCGGAAAUUGACAUUCCGG
This 67-nucleotide small RNA is filed under the name Acididesulfobacillus acetoxydans. RNAcentral's name for it is "Peptococcaceae bacterium INE non-coding RNA". The record is from RNAcentral. Lineage: Bacteria; Bacillati; Bacillota; Clostridia; Eubacteriales; Peptococcaceae.